Molecule: ribosomal RNA, 197 nt
Filed under: uncultured bacterium
Lineage: Bacteria
Description: partial 16S ribosomal RNA
Rfam family: Bacterial small subunit ribosomal RNA
Source: RNAcentral
GCGACAGUGGGGAAUAUUGGACAAUGGGCGCAAGCCUGAUCCAGCAAUUCCGCGUGAGCGAAGAAGGCCUUCGGGUUGUAAAGCUCUUUCGGCGGGGACGAUAAUGACGGUACCCGCAGAAGAAGCCCCGGCUAACUCCGUGCCAGCAGCCGCGGUAAUACGUAGGUGGCAAGCGUUGUCCCCAGCAGCCGCGGUAA